Molecule: long non-coding RNA, 413 nt
Filed under: Pongo abelii (Sumatran orangutan)
Lineage: Eukaryota; Metazoa; Chordata; Mammalia; Primates; Hominidae
Description: lincRNA
Source: RNAcentral
UGACUGCCAAGCUGGGAAGAACUCCAGUUCCUUCCUAGGCUAGGGAUUUUAACAACAGAACAAAAUCCCAGUGUUCUUCAAGGUGACAAGGGGAACCGCUAGGGUUUCCCAAGGCACAGUUUGUGAACAACUGAUUGGAGCCAGACUCAUCAGGCUAGAUGUACCUACAGCAACUAGCAUAGAUCUCAAAAACAUAGUACCAAGCGAAAUAAGACAGACUGAGAUAAUAGAAGAUAGUAACAUUUACCUGAACUAUGGCGGCCACAGCACAGCAAUACAUAUUCUGCAAGAAGACAGCUAAACAAAAGAUACACACUCAACACAACAGAAAGGGUGCCGUGGUGGGGAGGAGAAGGGGGUGAAGGGGAGACAUUGAAGGGAGUGAGUUAUUAAAAAGUAUUUAAUCAAUGAAA